GGAGUUGUGGCUCAGUGGUAAGAGUGCUUGCCUGGCAUGCAUGAGGCCAUGGGCUCAAUCCUCAGCACCA
This 70-nucleotide transfer RNA is filed under the name Ictidomys tridecemlineatus (thirteen-lined ground squirrel). Its description in RNAcentral is "Spermophilus tridecemlineatus (thirteen-lined ground squirrel) tRNA". It matches the Rfam family "tRNA". From Rfam's summary of the family: Transfer RNA (tRNA) molecules are approximately 80 nucleotides in length. Their secondary structure includes four short double-helical elements and three loops (D, anti-codon, and T loops). Lineage: Eukaryota; Metazoa; Chordata; Mammalia; Rodentia; Sciuridae. The record is from Rfam by way of RNAcentral.